GAUGAACGCUGACAGAAUGCUUAACACAUGCAAGUCAACUUGAAUUUGGGUUUUUAACUUAGAUUUGGGUGGCGAACGGGUGAGUAACGCGUAAAGAACUUGCCUCACAGCUAGGGACAACAUUUAGAAAUGAAUGCUAAUACCUGAUAUUAUGAUUUUAAGGCAUCUUAGAAUUAUGAAAGCUAUAAGCACUGUGAGAGAGCUUUGCGUCCCAUUAGCUAGUUGGAGAGGUAACAGCUCACCAAGGCGAUGAUGGGUAGCCGGCCUGAGAGGGUGAACGGCCACAAGGGGACUGAGACACGGCCCUUACUCCUACGGGAGGCAGCAGUGGGGAAUAUUGGACAAUGGACCAAGAGUCUGAUCCAGCAAUUCUGUGUGCACGAUGAAGUUUUUCGGAAUGUAAAGUGCUUUCAGUUGGGAAGAAAAAAAUGACGGUACCAACAGAAGAAGUGACGGCUAAAUACGUGCCAGCAGCCGCGGUAAUACGUAUGUCACGAGCGUUAUCCGGAUUUAUUGGGCGUAAAGCGCGUCUAGGUGGUUAUGUAAGUCUGAUGUGAAAAUGCAGGGCUCAACUCUGUAUUGCGUUGGAAACUGUAUAACUAGAGUACUGGAGAGGUAAGCGGAACUACAAGUGUAGAGGUGAAAUUCGUAGAUAUUUGUAGGAAUGCCGAUGGGGAAGCCAGCUUACUGGACAGAUACUGACGCUAAAGCGCGAAAGCGUGGGUAGCAAACAGG
This 735-nucleotide ribosomal RNA is filed under the name uncultured Fusobacterium sp. RNAcentral describes it as "bacterial SSU rRNA". It matches the Rfam family "Bacterial small subunit ribosomal RNA", at positions 28 to 776 of the family's 1533-position model. The record is from RNAcentral. Lineage: Bacteria; Fusobacteriati; Fusobacteriota; Fusobacteriia; Fusobacteriales; Fusobacteriaceae.